CCUACGGGUGGCAGCAGUGGGGAAUAUUGCACAAUGGGGGAAACCCUGAUGCAGCGACGCCGCGUGAGUGAAGAAGUAAUUCGUUACGUAAAGCUCUAUCAGCAGGGGAGAAACACUGACCUUACGGUCAGCAGACGGUACCUGAGUAAGAAGCCCCGGCUAACUACGUGCCAGCAGCCGCGGUAAUACGUAGGGGGCAAGCGUUAUCCGGAGUUACUGGGUGGAAAGGGAGCGUAGACGGCGCGCCAAGGCUGGAGUGAAAUGCCGCAGCUUAACUGCGGAACUGCUUUGGAAACUGGCGAACUAGAGUGCGGGAGGGGUAAGCGGAAUUCCUAGUGUAGCGGUGAAAUGCGUAGAUAUUAGGAGGAACACCGGUGGCGAAGGCGGCUUACUGGACCGUAACUGACGUUGAGGCUCGAAAGCGUGGGGAGCAAACAGGAUUAGAUACCCUGGUAGUC
Molecule: ribosomal RNA, 458 nt
Filed under: uncultured bacterium
Lineage: Bacteria
Description: partial 16S ribosomal RNA
Rfam family: Bacterial small subunit ribosomal RNA
Source: RNAcentral